UGGUGCCAGCAGCCGCGGUAAUUCCAGCUCCAAUAGCGUAUAUUAAAGUUGUUGCAGUUAAGAAGCUCGUAGUUGAAUUUCUGCCUUAUCAUUAAUUUCGCUUCCGAACGUAAUUUUAUUGAUUUGGCAUCUUCUGGAUUAUAUAUUAUUUUUAAUAUAUUUUUCCAGUAUUUUACUUUGAGAAAACUAGAGUGUUUCAAACAGGCUUUUGCCUUGAAUACUACAGCAUGGAAUAAUGAAGUAGGACUAUUGGUUCUAUUUUGUUGGUUAUCGAACCAUAGUAAUGGUUAAUAGGAGCAGUUGGGGGCAUUCGUAUUUAACUGUCAGAGGUGAAAUUCUUAGAUUUGUUAAAGACGAACUACUGCGAAAGCAUUUGCCAAGGAUGUUUUCAUUAAUCAAGAACGAAAGUUAGGGGAUCGAAGACGAUCAGAUACCGUCGUAGUCCUAAC
RNAcentral lists this ribosomal RNA (449 nucleotides) under Babesia vulpes. RNAcentral's name for it is "SSU rRNA". It matches the Rfam family "Eukaryotic small subunit ribosomal RNA", at positions 562 to 1030 of the family's 1831-position model. Lineage: Eukaryota; Apicomplexa; Aconoidasida; Piroplasmida; Babesiidae. The record is from RNAcentral.